UAGGGAAUCUUCGGCAAUGGGGGGAACCCUGACCGAGCAACGCCGCGUGAGUGAAGAAGGUUUUCGGAUCGUAAAGCUCUGUUGUUAAGGAAGAACGAGUGUGAGAAUGGAAAGUUCAUGCUGUGACGGUACUUAACCAGAAAGGGACGGCUAACUACGUGCCAGCAGCCGCGGUAAUACGUAGGUCCCGAGCGUUGUCCGGAUUUAUUGGGCGUAAAGCGAGCGCAGGCGGUUAGAUAAGUCUGAAGUUAAAGGCAGUGGCUCAACCAUUGUAGGCUUUGGAAACUGUUUAACUUGAGUGCAGAAGGGGAGAGUGGAAUUCCAUGUGUAGCGGUGAAAUGCGUAGAUAUAUGGAGGAACACCGGUGGCGAAAGCGGCUCUCUGGUCUGUAACUGACGCUGAGGCUCGAAAGCGUGGGGAGCGAACAG
This 428-nucleotide ribosomal RNA is filed under the name Bacteroidota bacterium. RNAcentral's name for it is "Bacteroidetes bacterium partial 16S ribosomal RNA". It matches the Rfam family "Bacterial small subunit ribosomal RNA", at positions 355 to 775 of the family's 1533-position model. The record is from RNAcentral. Lineage: Bacteria; Pseudomonadati; Bacteroidota.